GACGAACUGUCCUAACGUUGUUCGGAAUCACUGGGCUUAAAGGGCGCGUAGGCGGUCUGCCAAGUCGGGGGUGAAAUCCUGCAGCUUAACUGUAGAAGUGCCUUCGAUACUGGCAGUCUGGAGGGAGAUAGGGGUGUGCGGAACUUCCAGUGGAGCGGUGAAAUGCGUUGAUAUUGGAAGGAACGCCGGAGGCGAAAGCGGCGCACUGGAUCUCUUCUGACGCUGAGGCGCGAAAGCUAGGGGAGCAAACGGG
RNAcentral lists this ribosomal RNA (253 nucleotides) under uncultured bacterium. RNAcentral describes it as "partial 16S ribosomal RNA". It matches the Rfam family "Bacterial small subunit ribosomal RNA", at positions 524 to 776 of the family's 1533-position model. The record is from RNAcentral.